AAUAAGUGCAGUUUUAACAUUGUUUAUGUCCAACAUUUGACCGUUCGUCUUAUUUGAAAAAAGAUUAUAAUUAGUAUUUUUAUUGUUAUUAGAUGAUAAAAUAUGAAUAAUGCUUUAUGUGUGACUAAUUUUUUAAUAUUUUUCAUAAAUUUUUCAAAUAAGACAGAUGGUCAAAACGCUGAGUACGCAUAUUUAUGGCUGCACUUAUU
Non-coding RNA from Oryza nivara, 209 nucleotides. The record is from Rfam. Lineage: Eukaryota; Viridiplantae; Streptophyta; Magnoliopsida; Poales; Poaceae.